This 557-nucleotide ribosomal RNA is filed under the name uncultured bacterium. Its description in RNAcentral is "bacterial SSU rRNA". It matches the Rfam family "Bacterial small subunit ribosomal RNA", at positions 8 to 521 of the family's 1533-position model. The record is from RNAcentral.
AGAGUUUGAUCCUGGCUCAGGAUGAACGCCGGCGGUGUGCCUAAUACAUGCAAGUCGUACGCACUGGCCCAACUGAUUGAUGGUGCUUGCACCUGAUUGACGAUGGAUCACCAGUGAGUGGCGGACGGGUGAGUAACACGUAGGUAACCUGCCCCGGAGCGGGGGAUAACAUUUGGAAACAGAUGCUAAUACCGCAUAACAACAAAAGCCACAUGGCUUUUGUUUGAAAGAUGGCUUUGGCUAUCACUCUGGGAUGGACCUGCGGUGCAUUAGCUAGUUGGUAAGGUAACGGCUUACCAAGGCAAUGAUGCAUAGCCGAGUUGAGAGACUGAUCGGCCACAAUGGAACUGAGACACGGUCCAUACUCCUACGGGAGGCAGCAGUAGGGAAUCUUCCACAAUGGGCGCAAGCCUGAUGGAGCAACACCGCGUGAGUGAAGAAGGGUUUCGGCUCGUAAAGCUCUGUUGUUGGAGAAGAACGUGCGUGAGAGCAACUGUUCACGCAGUGACGGUAUCCAACCAGAAAGUCACGGCUAACUACGUGCCAGCAGCCGCGGU